Molecule: ribosomal RNA, 465 nt
Filed under: uncultured bacterium
Lineage: Bacteria
Description: partial 16S ribosomal RNA
Rfam family: Bacterial small subunit ribosomal RNA
Source: RNAcentral
GACGAACGCUGGCGGCGCGCCUAACACAUGCAAGUCGAACGAGCGAGAGAGAGCUUGCUUUCUCGAGCGAGUGGCGAACGGGUGAGUAACGCGUGAGGAACCUGCCUCAAAGAGGGGGACAACAGUUGGAAACGACUGCUAAUACCGCAUAAGCCCACGGCUCGGCAUCGAGCAGGGGGAAAAGGAGCAAUCCGCUUUGAGAUGGCCUCGCGUCCGAUUAGCUAGUUGGUGAGGUAACGGCCCACCAAGGCGACGAUCGGUAGCCGGACUGAGAGGUUGAACGGCCACAUUGGGACUGAGACACGGCCCAGACUCCUACGGGAGGCAGCAGUGGGGAAUAUUGCACAAUGGGGGAAACCCUGAUGCAGCGACGCCGCGUGGAGGAAGAAGGUCUUCGGAUUGUAAACUCCUGUUGUUGGGGAAGAUAAUGACGGUACCCAACAAGGAAGUGACGGCUAACUACGU